RNAcentral lists this long non-coding RNA (693 nucleotides) under Monodelphis domestica (gray short-tailed opossum). Its description in RNAcentral is "lncRNA (ENSMODG00000032674.2)". Lineage: Eukaryota; Metazoa; Chordata; Mammalia; Didelphimorphia; Didelphidae. The record is from RNAcentral.
CAGUCUUUAUACUCCCAGAUAAAUGCCUGGGUCUGGGAGAAGCUGUCAGGGUAUAUACAAGUUUGUGGACAAUAUGCAUAAUAUAUUGUUUAAUGCUUUUGUUGAUUUUCUUCCAAUAGGAAAGUUUAAAAUAUAGCUAAGCAGGUUUUGUCAGUUCCUGUAAGGAGGUGGCUCAAUGUUGCCCAGGUCACGUGACUAGGACUCAGUGAAAUAUGGAGGAAAUAUGGUUUUAUAUUAGGGGUUCAGAAGCUUAUUCAGAUUGAAUGAAUCUACAUUAACCAUCCUUUGCAGAGUCAGCAAGUAUGUGUAGUUGAAAUAGGGUGGGAAGGUGCUGAUAACAAGAGGAAUAGGAUCAACCUAAUUUUGGAGAUUUCAUUUGUUCUGAUUCUUAAAGGAAACUAAAGAUUCAAAGAGGUGGAUAUGAGAAACAAGUGCAUUCUAGGCAGGGUGUGGACAAGUUUCUCCAACUGUUUGAUUCCAUCCAGAAAGGGUAACUCAAGCCGCCUGCUUCCAUUUGAGACUCAAUUCACAAGAAGUUGAUCAUUUGCCAUUACUCUACUCUCUCCAGUCAGUAUGAUUCCCUUCCUCCCACCAACCCUGGCCAAAGAAUUGGAAUGGAAAAUGUUGAUAGAUCAUGUGAAUGUGUUGUGUGCAUAAUUCCUGACCAAUAAUAAAACUUUCACAACUUAUUCA